CAGUAACCCCCAUUCGGCCAUUCCCCGAAGCCCCACUCCCAAACGAACCCUAGCCCCUCUCUCCCUACUCCCUAGGUCUCACAGCCUCGCUCUCUGCAACUCCCAUCGCCGGUGAGAGACCUCCUCCCACCACCUCGCAGCCACCGCCACCUUCCUCCCAGCGCAGCCCUUCCACUGCUCCCACCCAGGACCUCCUCGCGGACAGAGCAGCCCAGCACUGCAGCACACAGCCAGCGCCCAGCGCCCAGCAGGUCGGCACCACGCUUGCAAGUCGCACCCACCACCACCCUCAGUCCCUCGCAACUCGCAAAUCGCACCCAGCAGGCCAUGACCACCCACUCACCCAGGACCACUCGAUAGCCUAUUGCAAAACGCAGAGAAGACAGAACAGAACUCGAACGCAGCUUGGAGGAAGCACCGAAGCAGCCAUCUCUCGUCGCCGUUCCUCAACGUCCAGCCACCGUCGCCGGCCUCGCCUUCUGCCUCCGUCGCGCAGCCACUGUCUCGACGGUGCCAGUUCUGUUCCAUCGCGUCAGCCCUUCGGUCGUGCCCUGUUCCUUUCUUGCUACUGAUCUGCUCUGCUCUGUUCUGGCAUUUAGUUCUAGGUAUUAAUUUUUUUAAACUAUAAUUGUUGAAUAAUUCUUGUUACUUGUUAGUUAAUCUGUGAACCUUGCUGUUGUUA
Non-coding RNA from Arachis ipaensis, 682 nucleotides. NCBI's taxonomy places the organism in Eukaryota, Viridiplantae, Streptophyta, Magnoliopsida, Fabales, Fabaceae. The record is from RefSeq and is a predicted model, not a curated record.